RNAcentral lists this unclassified non-coding RNA (339 nucleotides) under soil metagenome. Its description in RNAcentral is "partial contains 5.8S ribosomal RNA, internal transcribed spacer 2, and large subunit ribosomal RNA". The stretch from base 1 to 120 matches the Rfam family "5.8S ribosomal RNA", at positions 35 to 154 of the family's 154-position model. The record is from RNAcentral.
GAUGAAGAACGCAGCGAAAUGCGAUAAGUAAUGUGAAUUGCAGAAUUCAGUGAAUCAUCGAGUCUUUGAACGCACAUUGCGCCCCCUGGUAUUCCGGGGGGCAUGCCUGUCCGAGCGUCAUUGCUGCCCUCAAGCACGGCUUGUGUGUUGGGCUCCGUCCCCCCGGGGACGGGCCCGAAAGGCAGCGGCGGCACCGAGUCCGGUCCUCGAGCGUAUGGGGCUUUGUCACCCGCUCUGUAGGCCCGGCCGGCGCCAGCCGACAACCCAUCAUCCUUUUCAGGUUGACCUCGGAUCAGGUAGGGAUACCCGCUGAACUUAAGCAUAUCAAUAAGCGGAGGA